Molecule: non-coding RNA, 747 nt
Organism: Vicugna pacos (alpaca)
Lineage: Eukaryota; Metazoa; Chordata; Mammalia; Artiodactyla; Camelidae
Source: RefSeq, a predicted model, not a curated record
GGGACUGGCCCACUUGAACCAUUUGGAAAAGUACUUUUAAAAAUUGGCCUCCUGUGUUGAAGCCCUACAAUAAAAUGGGCUGGGGGAAGACGGGAGGGAGAAGGGAGACAAGGAGAAAAGGCCACUUCUGUUAGACUUUGCUCUCUUCCCCAUCUCUGCCUAGGCAGAGGAAGAUGCUACUGAUGUGCCUGGCUGCCCCAUUUCACACUCUGUGGCGCCUAGAGAAAAGCUGUUUGGGAUUCACCCGCACCAUCAGCAGGUCACUACAAGGUCAUCCUAACCCCUACGCUUGGCUUGCACCUGUGGUAUCUUCCUGAACUUUCUGCCUUAACUGCGCCUGACCUUUGCCUAAUCAGACAGAUAAAGGACAUCUGAUUACUUCUUGGUGCUUCUCAGGAAUACAAGCUUCUUACCUCCCUGAAUUUCUGCCGGAAGGGACCCUAGCGGUCAUCUAGCCUGCGGUUACAGCUUAUCAAGGUCACUUACACCAAAGGAAGCCAUGGAGCAAACCGUCUUGUGGAGAUGCCCAUGUGGAAAGGGACGGAAGCCUCUUGCCAAGAGCCACGUGGGUAAGCCUGGACACAGCACUUCCAGCCUAUCUUCAAAGACUACCACCCUAGCAGACAGCUUGACUGCAGCCCCACGAGAGAACCAGCCAGCAUUCUGGACCCUCAGAAGCUUGUGAGAUGAGUUACUAAGUAAUUUGUUACGCAACAAGAGAGAACGCACAGCAUUAGAAAAAGUAAA